CCUGGGAAUAGGGGAAGCUUGAAACUUUGAGGGACAAUUGUAAUUCUUAAUUCUUUGUGGGAUAUGGUUAUUCUUUUGACUUUGAUGUGGCAAUGAUUAUACAAUGUCUUAUCUACCUGCUUUUAGAUUGUCAAUAAAAGACUGAGGCAAAAGAAAGGCUGGAGAGCAAAUGAGAGAGCGAAUGAGAGAGCAAAUGUGAAAGUGAGUGAAGGAGAGAACGAGGGAACAAAUGAGGCAGCGAGUGGGGGCAUGAGAAGAACAUGUGAAGAGUGAGUGAGAGAGAAUGUGAGGUGUGUAUGAAGAGUAUGUGUGUGAGUGAAAGGAGAGUACAUGUGAUGUGUGUGAGGUGUGUAUGAAGAGUGUGUGUGAGAAUGAAAGGGUAAUGAGGUGUGCAUGAGUUUGGGAGUUUGAGAAAAGGAAAGCACAAUGGAGAAAAGCAGAGUGUGAGAGAGAAUGCAGAGUGCAGAGUGUAUGCAGCUUCAAGCUGAAAAAGAGAGAGAGAGAGAGAGAGAGAGAGAAGAAGAAGAAGGAGGAGGAGGAGGAGGAGGAGGAGGAGGAGAAAACUUUAAGCCUUGAAAUUGCCUGUCAGUUUGUACCCCAAGAGUAGUCUGUGUAUAUUUAUUAUGCGCCUUCCCCAUGUCCCUGCUUCCAGUUGAGAACUCUGAUCCUGUGUCGAGAAUGGACCCCAGCAAUGCUAGAAGAUGCAGCAGCCUACAAUUGGUUCUCACCAGAAUUUAUGGCUCGAGAAGGAAACUGCUUCACAUUAUUGAGGUUAUGUCCGAGUCUGCCCUUUCUCAUGCCUGACACCUCAGAAUGGUGGAGGAGACAGACGGGAUCCAGCAUCCCGGACUUGUCAAAACCACUUUUCUCAUCAGUAACCCUGCUGGCUCAGCCAAGGGUGAGCCAUGUUACCUUGAAGUAG
This 922-nucleotide long non-coding RNA is filed under the name Rattus norvegicus (Norway rat). RNAcentral's name for it is "long non-coding RNA NONRATT031485". Lineage: Eukaryota; Metazoa; Chordata; Mammalia; Rodentia; Muridae. The record is from RNAcentral.